This 453-nucleotide ribosomal RNA is filed under the name uncultured bacterium. Its description in RNAcentral is "bacterial SSU rRNA". It matches the Rfam family "Bacterial small subunit ribosomal RNA", at positions 340 to 786 of the family's 1533-position model. The record is from RNAcentral.
UACGGGAGGCAGCAGUGGGGAAUAUUGCACAAUGGGCGCAAGCCUGAUGCAGCCAUGCCGCGUGUAUGAAAAAGGCCUUCGGGUUGUAAAGUACUUUCAGUCGUGAGGAAGGUGUUAAGGUUAAUAACCUUAGCAAUUGACGUUAGCGACAGAAGAAGCACCGGCUAACUCCGUGCCAGCAGCCGCGGUAAUACGGAGGGUGCGAGCGUUAAUCGGAAUUACUGGGCGUAAAGGGCACGCAGGCGGUUAAUUAAGUUGGAUGUGAAAUCCCCGGGCUUAACCUGGGAAUGGCAUUCAAGACUGGUUAGCUAGAGUCUUGUAGAGGGGGUAGAAUUCCAUGUGUAGCGGUGAAAUGCGUAGAGAUGUGGAGGAAUACCGGCGGCGAAGGCGGCCCCUGGACAAAGACUGACGCUCAUGUGCGAAAGCGUGGGGAGCAAACAGGGAUUAGAUACC